CCUACGGGCGGCAGCAGUGAGGAAUAUUGGUCAAUGGACGAGAGACUGAACCAGCCAAGUAGCGUGAAGGAUGACUGCCCUAUGGGUUGUAAACUUCUUUUAUCUGGGAAUAAAAUGUUCCACGUGUGGGCUUUUGUAUGUACCAUAUGAAUAAGGAUCGGCUAACUCCGUGCCAGCAGCCGCGGUAAUACGGAGGAUCCGAGCGUUAUCCGGAUUUAUUGGGUUUAAAGGGAGCGUAGGUGGAUUGUUAAGUCAGUUGUGAAAGUUUGGGGCUCAACCGUAAAAUUGCAGUUGAAACUGGCAGUCUUGAGUACAGUAGAGGUGUGCGGAAUGCGUGGUGUAGCGGUGAAAUGCUUAGAUAUCGCGAAGAACUCCGAUUGCGAAGGCAGUACACUGGACUGCAACUGACACUGAGGCUCGAAAGUGUGGGUAUCGAACAGGAUUAGAUACCCUUGUAGUC
RNAcentral lists this ribosomal RNA (460 nucleotides) under uncultured bacterium. RNAcentral's name for it is "partial 16S ribosomal RNA". It matches the Rfam family "Bacterial small subunit ribosomal RNA", at positions 338 to 795 of the family's 1533-position model. The record is from RNAcentral.